This 290-nucleotide ribosomal RNA is filed under the name uncultured bacterium. RNAcentral describes it as "partial 16S ribosomal RNA". It matches the Rfam family "Bacterial small subunit ribosomal RNA", at positions 333 to 619 of the family's 1533-position model. The record is from RNAcentral.
UGGAUCCUACGGGGGGCAGCAGUGAGGAAUAUUGGUCAAUGGGCGCAAGCCUGAACCAGCCAAGUCGCGUGAGGGAUGACGGUCCUAUGGAUUGUAAACCUCUUUUGUCGGGGAGCAAGGCCCGCCACGUGUGGCGGGAAGGAGAGCACCCGCAGAAAAAGCAUCGGCUAACUCCGUGCCAGCAGCCGCGGUAAUACGGAGGAUGCGAGCGUUAUCCGGAUUUAUUGGGUUUAAAGGGUGCGUAGGCGGAAGGUUAAGUCAGCGUGCACAUGUCGGUGCUUAACACCGGC